This 278-nucleotide ribosomal RNA is filed under the name uncultured bacterium. RNAcentral describes it as "partial 16S ribosomal RNA". It matches the Rfam family "Bacterial small subunit ribosomal RNA", at positions 30 to 309 of the family's 1533-position model. The record is from RNAcentral.
AUUGAACGCUGGCGGCAUGCCUUACACAUGCAAGUCGAACGGUAACGGGCCUUCGGGUGCCGACGAGUGGCGAACGGGUGAGUAAUGCAUCGGAACGUACCUUUCAGUGGGGGAUAACGUAGCGAAAGUUACGCUAAUACCGCAUAUUCUGUGAGCAGGAAAGCAGGGGAUCGCAAGACCUUGCGCUGAUUGAGCGGCCGAUGUCAGAUUAGCUAGUUGGUGAGGUAAAGGCUCACCAAGGCGACGAUCUGUAGCGGGUCUGAGAGGAUGACUCCGCC